GUUACCCCUUAUCGAAUCCGCUUCGGCCUACUGUCCCAGCUGAGUUGGUUAAUGAACCAAAAGCAUAUUUUACUGGCUGUUCGGUUUCUUGUAUCUUAUCAGCAACAAUUUGGGUGAGGACAUUA
Molecule: small nucleolar RNA, 125 nt
Organism: Oncorhynchus mykiss (rainbow trout)
Lineage: Eukaryota; Metazoa; Chordata; Actinopteri; Salmoniformes; Salmonidae
Source: Ensembl